This 245-nucleotide long non-coding RNA is filed under the name Helianthus annuus (common sunflower). RNAcentral describes it as "sRNA HanXRQr2_Chr14g0627191". The record is from RNAcentral. Lineage: Eukaryota; Viridiplantae; Streptophyta; Magnoliopsida; Asterales; Asteraceae.
UUGAAAGAGCCGGUUGAGGAUAAAAGUAACUAAGUGCAUUCAAGUUGUUAAAAUCUCGAAAUAUGCCGGUUGGGGCGUGAUGGCCAGUCAUCGCAGGUCCACUUGAAUUCAUUGAUGCGAUGACUUUAGCACAGGCGUGGACUCUUCUGUAUCCAUUAUCUACUUAUAAGGUCCACUUGAAUUUGCUGAUGCAAUGACUUUAGCACAGGACCUUAGGUAUACUUGGGAGCUUGCACAGGGAGGAG